This 72-nucleotide transfer RNA is filed under the name Ankyra judayi. RNAcentral's name for it is "tRNA-Gly". It matches the Rfam family "tRNA". From Rfam's summary of the family: Transfer RNA (tRNA) molecules are approximately 80 nucleotides in length. Their secondary structure includes four short double-helical elements and three loops (D, anti-codon, and T loops). Further hydrogen bonds mediate the characteristic L-shaped molecular structure. tRNAs have two regions of fundamental functional importance: the anti-codon, which is responsible for specific mRNA codon recognition, and the 3' end, to which the tRNAs corresponding amino acid is attached (by aminoacyl-tRNA synthetases). tRNAs cope with the degeneracy of the genetic code in two manners: having more than one tRNA (with a specific anti-codon) for a particular amino acid; and 'wobble' base-pairing, i.e. permitting non-standard base-pairing at the 3rd anti-codon position. The record is from RNAcentral. Lineage: Eukaryota; Viridiplantae; Chlorophyta; Chlorophyceae; Sphaeropleales; Sphaeropleaceae.
GCGGGUAUAGUUCAGUGGUAGAACACCUCCUUGCCAAGGAGGAUGUCGCGCGUUCGAGCCGCGUUACCCGCU